GACGAACGCUGGCGGCGUGCUUAACACAUGCAAGUCGAACGGAAAGGCCCUGCUUUUGUGGGGUGCUCGAGUGGCGAACGGGUGAGUAACACGUGAGUAACCUGCCCUUGACUUUGGGAUAACUUCAGGAAACUGGGGCUAAUACCGGAUAGGAGCUCCUGCUGCAUGGUGGGGGUUGGAAAGUUUCGGCGGUUGGGGAUGGACUCGCGGCUUAUCAGCUUGUUGGUGGGGUAGUGGCUUACCAAGGCUUUGACGGGUAGCCGGCCUGAGAGGGUGACCGGCCACAUUGGGACUGAGAUACGGCCCAGACUCCUACGGGAGGCAGCAGGGGGGAAUAUUGCACAAUGGGCGGAAGCCUGAUGCAGCAACGCCGCGUGCGGGAUGACGGCCUUCGGGCUGUAAACCGCUUUCGCCUGUGACGAAGCGUGAGUGACGGUAAUGGGUAAAGAAGCACCGGCUAACUACGUG
This 468-nucleotide ribosomal RNA is filed under the name uncultured bacterium. RNAcentral's name for it is "partial 16S ribosomal RNA". It matches the Rfam family "Bacterial small subunit ribosomal RNA", at positions 28 to 507 of the family's 1533-position model. The record is from RNAcentral.